RNAcentral lists this non-coding RNA (45 nucleotides) under Schistosoma mattheei. The record is from RNAcentral. Lineage: Eukaryota; Metazoa; Platyhelminthes; Trematoda; Strigeidida; Schistosomatidae.
AUCCAGCUGACCAGUCCCAAGUAGGACGAAACGAACCUCCUGCAU